RNAcentral lists this ribosomal RNA (610 nucleotides) under uncultured bacterium. RNAcentral's name for it is "bacterial SSU rRNA". It matches the Rfam family "Bacterial small subunit ribosomal RNA", at positions 78 to 684 of the family's 1533-position model. The record is from RNAcentral.
UGCUGUUUCGCUGACGAGUGGCGGACGGGUGAGUAAUGUCUGGGAAACUGCCUGAUGGAGGGGGAUAACUACUGGAAACGGUAGCUAAUACCGCAUAACGUCGCAAGACCAAAGAGGGGGACCUUCGGGCCUCUUGCCAUCAGAUGUGCCCAGAUGGGAUUAGCUAGUAGGUGGGGUAACGGCUCACCUAGGCGACGAUCCCUAGCUGGUCUGAGAGGAUGACCAGCCACACUGGAACUGAGACACGGUCCAGACUCCUACGGGAGGCAGCAGUGGGGAAUAUUGCACAAUGGGCGCAAGCCUGAUGCAGCCAUGCCGCGUGUAUGAAGAAGGCCUUCGGGUUGUAAAGUACUUUCAGCGGGGAGGAAGGGAGUAAAGUUAAUACCUUUGCUCAUUGACGUUACCCGCAGAAGAAGCACCGGCUAACUCCGUGCCAGCAGCCGCGGUAAUACGGAGGGUGCAAGCGUUAAUCGGAAUUACUGGGCGUAAAGCGCACGCAGGCGGUUUGUUAAGUCAGAUGUGAAAUCCCCGGGCUCAACCUGGGAACUGCAUCUGAUACUGGCAAGCUUGAGUCUCGUAGAGGGGGGUAGAAUUCCAGGUGUAGCGGUGA